UACGGGGGGGGCAAGCGUUGUUCGGGAUUACUGGGCGUAAAGGGCUCGUAGGUGGCCAACUAAGUCAGACGUGAAAUCCCUCGGCUUAACCGGGGAACUGCGUCUGAUACUGGAUGGCUAGAGUUUGGGAGAGGGAUGCGGAAUUCCAGGUGUAGCGGUGAAAUGCGUAGAUAUCUGGAGGAACACCGGUGGCGAAGGCGGCAUCCUGGACCAACACUGACGCUGAGGAGCGAAAGCCAGGGGAGCAAACGGG
Molecule: ribosomal RNA, 253 nt
Filed under: uncultured bacterium
Lineage: Bacteria
Description: partial 16S ribosomal RNA
Rfam family: Bacterial small subunit ribosomal RNA
Source: RNAcentral